AUUAAAAGAUCCUUGCUUUUUUAACUAAAUAAGUGUAAUACCUUGCCUUAGUGUGCCUAAUUUUAAAAAAAGAAAGAAAAAAAAACUGUUCUCCACUUGUUCUCUCAAGAUGUAUGUUACAAUUCUGUGAACUGUCUUGAACUGUACAUACUUCAAUUAAUUAAAUAAUUUAAAAAAAAAAAAAAUAAUAAUAAUCCUUCUUCCUUGUUUUGAACGUAAAACGUUCGGCGGCACCGCCCCCGUCGCUGCGUGCUCGUUCACGUCGCGCCGUUCACAAGUGGACGCCCUGCUGCGUCAUUUGCGCGCCGCCUCGCUCACGAUGCGCUUCUUUGCCCGACAUCCUAAAGAUAGAUGUUCCGAUUUCAGAUGACGACUGGCAGGAGGAGCACAAGCGUCUGGAUGAGCUGGAGGCGGGGCUCGGCCUGGGAGGAGGAGGAGGACUGGGAGGAUAACCGGACUUAGGAGGAACCCAACACUCUUCCUUCUCCUCCUCCUCCUCCUCCAGCCGUCUGCCUCCAUCAGCCGGCUGCCUCCAUCAGCCGGCUGCCUCCCCCUUCCAUCCUCCCUUCCUCCCCUCGGCUUCUCCUCGUCUUCCUCCAGGCUGCCUCCACCAGCCUUGGUCUGGAUCAUUGGGAACAUCUAGUCCGAUGGACUGAGAGCUACAGAGAACAUGAACAUCCAGCUGUGGUUGUCUGAAGAGUCUUCUCUCCUUCAUCACUGUGAGGAAGAGCAGCACUGAUGUCCUCCUCAUCCUCCCAUUAAUAACAAUAAUGCUGCAGAUUCAGCUUCUCUCUUCAUAAUACAACUUGUCUUGUGACUGUUCAGUUUUUACAUUUCAGUCAGCAACAUGUUGUUUAUUUCAUCUAUUUAUUUCAUGUUUACACAUCUUUACAGUUCAGAAUUGUGAAAUAAUGCAGUUUUUAAAUGUGCAAUAAAGGAAAUAAU
Amphiprion ocellaris (clown anemonefish) is the source of this 945-nucleotide long non-coding RNA. Lineage: Eukaryota; Metazoa; Chordata; Actinopteri; Pomacentridae. The record is from Ensembl.